This 253-nucleotide ribosomal RNA is filed under the name uncultured bacterium. RNAcentral describes it as "partial 16S ribosomal RNA". It matches the Rfam family "Bacterial small subunit ribosomal RNA", at positions 524 to 776 of the family's 1533-position model. The record is from RNAcentral.
UACGGAGGGUGCAAGCGUUAAUCGGAAUUACUGGGCGUAAAGCGCACGCAGGUGGCUGAGUCAGUCGAUUGUGAAAGCCCUGGGCUUAACCUGGGAAUUGCAGUCGAUACUACUCAGCUAGAGUAUGGGAGAGGGUAGUGGAAUUCCCGGUGUAGCGGUGAAAUGCGUAGAUAUCGGGAGGAACAUCAGUGGCGAAGGCGGGUCUCUGGGCCGAUACUGACGCUGAGGAGCGAAAGCGUGGGGAGCGAACAGG